Molecule: small nucleolar RNA, 105 nt
Organism: Otolemur garnettii (small-eared galago)
Lineage: Eukaryota; Metazoa; Chordata; Mammalia; Primates; Galagidae
Source: Ensembl
AAAAAUUUAUGCAUCAUGAAGCAUAAUGAUUGGGUUUUCACACUCAGGUGUGAGAUGUGCCCCCCUCCAACCUUGUUAGGAUAGCAGCACCUUAUCCAUCUGAUG